GACGAACGCUGGCGGCGUGCUUAACACAUGCAAGUCGAACGGAAAGGCCCUGCUUUUGUGGUGUGCUCGAGUGGCGAACGGGUGAGUAACACGUGAGUAACCUGCCCUUGACUUUGGGAUAACUUCAGGAAACUGGGGCUAAUACCGGAUAGGAGCUCCUGCUGCAUGGUGGGGGUUGGAUCGUUUCGGCGGUUGGGGAUGGACUCGCGGCUUACCAGCUUGUUGGUGGGGUAGUGGCUUACCCAGGCUGUGACGGGUAGCCGGCCUGAGAGGGUGAACGGCGACAUGGCGACUGAGGGACGGCCCAGACGCCUACGGGAGGCAGUAGUGGGGAAUAUUGCACAAUGGGCGGAAGCCUGAGGCAGCAGCGCCGCGUGCGGGAUGACGGCCUUCUGGUUGUAAACCGCUUUCGCCUGUGACGAAGCGUUAGUGACGGUAAUGGGUAAAGAAGCACCGGCUAACUACGUG
RNAcentral lists this ribosomal RNA (468 nucleotides) under uncultured bacterium. RNAcentral describes it as "partial 16S ribosomal RNA". It matches the Rfam family "Bacterial small subunit ribosomal RNA", at positions 28 to 507 of the family's 1533-position model. The record is from RNAcentral.